UCUUCCCCUAGGAGUGGCUGGUGUGUGUGUCCAUGUCAGUAGGUGGCAGAGAGAAGAGAGGCUACGUCUCUGUUCUGACCUGUCAACAUCUGAGUGAUCAGUAGGUAACCUGACAUC
Molecule: small nucleolar RNA, 117 nt
Organism: Rattus norvegicus (Norway rat)
Lineage: Eukaryota; Metazoa; Chordata; Mammalia; Rodentia; Muridae
Product: small nucleolar RNA SNORA17
Source: Ensembl